UAGGGAAUCUUCCACAAUGGACGAAAGUCUGAUGGAGCAACGCCGCGUGAGUGAAGAAGGGUUUCGGCGCGUAAAACUCUGUUGUUAAAGAAGAACAUAUCUGAGAGUAACUGUUCAGGUAUUGACGGUAUUUAACCAGAAAGCCACGGCUAACUACGUGCCAG
Molecule: ribosomal RNA, 164 nt
Filed under: uncultured bacterium
Lineage: Bacteria
Description: partial 16S ribosomal RNA
Rfam family: Bacterial small subunit ribosomal RNA
Source: RNAcentral